This 574-nucleotide long non-coding RNA is filed under the name Homo sapiens (human). Its description in RNAcentral is "HSALNT0289810". Lineage: Eukaryota; Metazoa; Chordata; Mammalia; Primates; Hominidae. The record is from RNAcentral.
CACCCCCAGGUGAGCAUCUGACAGCGUGGAGCAGCGCCCACACCCCCAGGUGGGCAUCUGACAGCCUGGAGCAGGCGCCCACAAUCCCAGGUUAGCAUCUGACAGCCUGGAGCAGCACCCACACCCCCAGUUGAGUAGCUGACAUCCUGGAGCUGCACCCAUACCCCCAGGUGAGAUCUGACAGCCUGGGGCAGCACCCACACCCCCAGGUGAGCAUCUGGCAACCUGGAACAGCAUCUACAGCCCCAGGUGACCAUCUGACAGCCUGAAGCAGCACCCACACCCCCAGGUGAGCAUGUGACCACAUGGAAUGUCAUCCUCACCUCCAGGUGAGCAUCGGACAGCCUGGAACAGAAUUCUCAAGCCCCAGGUGAGGAUCUGACAACCUGGAACAGAACCCCACUCUUCCAGGUGAGAAUAUGACAGCCUGAAACAGCACCCCGCACCCAGGCAAAAAUCUGACAGCAUGGAACAAGACUACUGCCCCCAGGUGAACAUCUGAUAGCCUGGAACAGAACCCCAGGCCUCCCAGUAAGCAUCUGAAAGCAAGGAACAGCACUCUCACCCCCAGGGG